This is a long non-coding RNA of Amphimedon queenslandica, 397 nucleotides long. RefSeq lists it as uncharacterized. The record is from RefSeq and is a predicted model, not a curated record. Lineage: Eukaryota; Metazoa; Porifera; Demospongiae; Haplosclerida; Niphatidae. The transcript is spliced from 2 exons.
AAAGUUUGAGGUGAUUUUAACUAAGGUUGUGGACUUGUGAUCAAUUUUAAAAUGAGCCAAUUUCUGUAAAAUACCCCAUACUAUAGCCCAUAUCUUUUCAAUUCCAAAAUUUUUGACAUAUCUGACUAGUCAACUGCUAAAUCACGUUUACAAGUUAGUGACAAAGUUAAGCAUGUGGUAGUAAAUGCCUAUUAAGUAGUUAAUUUACACUUUUAAAAUAAAUUGAUAUUACUAUUAUAUUUAUUAGGCUGUACUUCUGUCACAUCACAAUCAACAAGUACAGGAUGUAUCAUCAGUGUUGCUAUUGCAUUACCUAUCACUGGUCUAUUAACUGGACUCAUUACAUCAAUAAUUACUAGCAUCAUUGUAUACUGUAUAAUGAAGAAUAAAGGGAAUA